Molecule: ribosomal RNA, 253 nt
Filed under: uncultured bacterium
Lineage: Bacteria
Description: partial 16S ribosomal RNA
Rfam family: Bacterial small subunit ribosomal RNA
Source: RNAcentral
UACGUAGGCAGCGAGCGUUGUUCGGAGUUACUGGGCGUAAAGAGUAUGUAGGCGGUUGCGUAAGUUUGGUGUGGAAUCUCCCGGCUUAACUGGGAGGGUGCGCCGAAAACUGCGGAGCUAGAGUGUGGGAGAGGAAAGCGGAAUUCCUGGUGUAGCGGUGAAAUGCGUAGAUAUCAGGAGGAACACCGGCGGUGUAGACGGCUUUCUGGACCAUUACUGACGCUGAGAUACGAAAGCGUGGGUAGCAAACAGG